RNAcentral lists this ribosomal RNA (216 nucleotides) under Glomeromycotina sp. RNAcentral describes it as "partial small subunit ribosomal RNA". The stretch from base 87 to 216 matches the Rfam family "Eukaryotic small subunit ribosomal RNA", at positions 733 to 864 of the family's 1831-position model. The record is from RNAcentral. Lineage: Eukaryota; Fungi; Glomeromycota.
GGGUCAGUAGGUUGGUCGUGCCACCGGUACGUACUGGUCUCACUGAUGCCUCCUUCCUGACGAACCGUAAUGCCAUUAAGUUGGUGUUGCGGGGAAACAGGACUUUUACUUUGAAAAAAUUAGAGUGUUUAAAGCAAGCUAACGCUUGAAUACAUUAGCAUGGAAUAAUGAAAUAGGACGAUCGAUCCUAUUUUGUUGGUUUCUAGGAUUGACGUA